GUAGAUGCUCAUCCCACUUAUUAUGACAGCUUGGCCAUUAAGGCUAAUUUAGCUUCAUAAACCCAGGGAUGACGCAGAGCCGAUUUUAGAGUGCCUAUUGUCCAUGUAACCGAUGUUGAGUAAUGUCAUCACAUACCGGGCAUAACGUUGAGUGAGGCACUGAUAUUGUUGUCUAUCGACCUGAAAAUUUUAGACACUUGCCCUUUUCGGCAAGUGUUUUUUU
Yersinia pestis CO92 is the source of this 223-nucleotide small RNA. It matches the Rfam family "GlmZ RNA activator of glmS mRNA". From Rfam's summary of the family: This RNA was discovered in E. coli during a large scale screen. The sraJ gene was expressed in early logarithmic phase, but its level decreased with cell growth. Lineage: Bacteria; Pseudomonadati; Pseudomonadota; Gammaproteobacteria; Enterobacterales; Yersiniaceae. The record is from Rfam.